AAACUGCCAGCCUAUGGCCACCAGUUGGAUCCAGGAGAAAGUGUGGCUGUCUCAGGAGGUGACUCAGAGUUAACAGAGAAGCUGGACAGCAGGUGGGGACCCCAGGCUGUACCCCUGUUGAUCUGGACAUAUUUCUAGGUGGACAAACUGAGAGUGAUGUUCCUGGAGAUGAAAAAUGAGAAGGAAAAACUCAUGAUCAAGUUCCAGAGCCAUGUAAGAAUGUCCAUGCCAUUCCAGGGCCAUUUCCUACCAUCGUUAGCAAAUGCCCCGCCAUGUUUCCCCUGUCCUACCAAGCUUGCUCUUUUAUGCAUAGGACUUAUAAAAUCUGUUUGCUUUCUAGCGAAAUAUCCUAGAGGAGAACCUUCGGCGCUCUGACAAGGAGUUAGAAAAACUAGAUGACAUUGUUCAGCAUAUUUAUAAGACCCUGCUCUCUAUUCCAGAGGUGGUGAGGGGAUGCAAAGAGCUACAGGGAUUGCUGGAAUUUCUAAGCUAAGAAACUGAAAGCCAGAAUCUGCUUCACCCCUUUUUACCUGCGAUACCCCCUUACCCCCAUACCAAGACCAACUGGCAUAGAGCCAACUGAGAUAAAUGCUAUUUAAAUAAAGUGUAUUUAAUGAAUUUCUCCAA
Molecule: small RNA, 627 nt
Filed under: Pongo abelii (Sumatran orangutan)
Lineage: Eukaryota; Metazoa; Chordata; Mammalia; Primates; Hominidae
Description: retained intron
Source: RNAcentral